UCCAGCAGCCAUAUCACUCUGCAACUCACCACUGGCAGCCCACUGAAGCUAAGCAGGUGUGAGCCUGGUCAGUACCUGGAUAAGAGACCUCCUGGGAAAACUAAGGUUCCUGCUGGAA
Molecule: ribosomal RNA, 118 nt
Filed under: Lepisosteus oculatus (spotted gar)
Lineage: Eukaryota; Metazoa; Chordata; Actinopteri; Semionotiformes; Lepisosteidae
Source: RNAcentral